This 72-nucleotide transfer RNA is filed under the name Sphaerodactylus townsendi. Its description in RNAcentral is "tRNA-Ala". The record is from RNAcentral. Lineage: Eukaryota; Metazoa; Chordata; Lepidosauria; Squamata; Sphaerodactylidae.
AGGGGUGUGACUUGGUGGUAGAGCAUCUGCUUGGCAUGUGAAAGGUCCCAGGUUCAAUCCCCAGCAUCUCCA